RNAcentral lists this ribosomal RNA (318 nucleotides) under uncultured Pseudomonadota bacterium. RNAcentral's name for it is "bacterial SSU rRNA". It matches the Rfam family "Bacterial small subunit ribosomal RNA", at positions 248 to 557 of the family's 1533-position model. The record is from RNAcentral. Lineage: Bacteria; Pseudomonadati; Pseudomonadota.
GUUGGUGGGGUAAUGGCUCACCAAGGCUACGAUAUUUAGGUGGUCUGAGAGGUCGAUCGCCCUCACUGGGACUGAGACACUGCCCAGACUCCUACGGGAGGCUGCAGUGGGGAAUCUUUCACAAUGGGCGAAAGCCUGAUCCUGCGAUGCCGUGUGUGUGAAGAAGGCCUUAGGGUUGUAAAGUUCUUUCACUAGGGAAGAAGGGAAGGGAGCUAAUACCUCUCUGACUUGAUGGUACCUGGUAAAGAAGUGCCGGCUAACUCCGUGCCAGCAGCCUGCGGUAAUACGGAGGGUGCAAGCGUUAAUCGGAUUUACUGG